UACGAAGGGGGCGAGCGUUGUUCGGAAUUACUGGGCGUAAAGGGCGCGUAGGCGGCCGAUCAAGUCAGAUGUGAAAGUCCUGGGCUUAACCUGGGGACUGCAUUUGAUACUGAUUGGCUUGAAUUCGGGAGAGGAUAGCGGAAUUCCCAGUGUAGAGGUGAAAUUCGUAGAUAUUGGGAAGAACACCCGUGGCGAAGGCGGCUCUCUGGGACGGUACUGACGCUGAGACGCGAAAGCGUGGGGAGCGAACAGG
RNAcentral lists this ribosomal RNA (253 nucleotides) under uncultured bacterium. RNAcentral describes it as "partial 16S ribosomal RNA". It matches the Rfam family "Bacterial small subunit ribosomal RNA", at positions 524 to 776 of the family's 1533-position model. The record is from RNAcentral.